This is a long non-coding RNA of Sander lucioperca (pikeperch), 572 nucleotides long. RefSeq lists it as uncharacterized. The record is from RefSeq and is a predicted model, not a curated record. NCBI's taxonomy places the organism in Eukaryota, Metazoa, Chordata, Actinopteri, Perciformes, Percidae. The transcript is spliced from 3 exons.
GAGAGUUAUAGGUUGCCAGGUUGAUGGUUAUAGGUUGCCAGGUUGAAGGUUAUAGGUUGCCAGGUUGAAGGUUACAGGUUGCCAGGUUGAGGGUUAUAGGUUGCCAGGUUGAUGGUUAUAGGUUGCCAGGUUGAUGGUUAUAGGAUGCCAGGUUGAUGGUUACAGGUUGCCAGGUUGAUGGUUAUAGGUUGCCAGGUUGAUGGUUAUAGGAUGCCAGGUUGAUGGUUACAGGUUGCCAGGUUGAUGGUUAUAGGAUGCCAGGUUGAUGGUUACAGGUUGCCAGGUUGAUGGUUAUAGGUUGCCAGGUUGAGGGUUAUAGGUUGCCAGGUUGAGGGUUAUAGGUUGCCAGGUUGAGAGUUAUAGGUUGAGGGUUAUAGGUUGCCAGGUUGAGAGUUAUAGGUUGCCAGGUUGAGAGUUAUAGGUUGCCAGGUUGAGGUGACAAACGGGUUGAACAUUGUAUAUGGUGGAUUGUGUGGAUGCGUUUCAUACAAGAUCUGGCAACUGGUCAACAUUAGACAAACAUAUUGGUCCGAUUAUUUAUAAAGGAGUUUGGGUCAUGCAAAUUACGGGAG